GACGAACGCUGGCGGCGUGCCUAAUACAUGCAAGUAGAACGCUGAAGGAGGAGCUUGCUUCUCCGGAUGAGUUGCGAACGGGUGAGUAACGCGUAGGUAACCUGCCUGGUAGCGGGGGAUAACUAUUGGAAACGAUAGCUAAUACCGCAUAAGAGUAGAUGUUGCAUGACAUUUGCUUAAAAGGUGCAAUUGCAUCACUACCAGAUGGACCUGCGUUGUAUUAGCUAGUUGGUGAGGUAACGGCUCACCAAGGCGACGAUACAUAGCCGACCUGAGAGGGUGAUCGGCCACACUGGGACUGAGACACGGCCCAGACUCCUACGGGAGGCGGCAGUAGGGAAUCUUCGGCAAUGGACGGAAGUCUGACCGAGCAACGCCGCGUGAGUGAAGAAGGUUUUCGGAUCGUAAAGCUCUGUUGUAAGAGAAGAACGAGUGUGAGAGUGGAAAGUUCACACUGUGACGGUAUCUUACCAGAAAGGGACGGCUAACUACGUG
This 495-nucleotide ribosomal RNA is filed under the name uncultured bacterium. RNAcentral's name for it is "partial 16S ribosomal RNA". It matches the Rfam family "Bacterial small subunit ribosomal RNA", at positions 28 to 507 of the family's 1533-position model. The record is from RNAcentral.